RNAcentral lists this ribosomal RNA (108 nucleotides) under Enterobacter hormaechei. RNAcentral describes it as "partial 23S ribosomal RNA". It matches the Rfam family "Bacterial large subunit ribosomal RNA", at positions 2819 to 2925 of the family's 2925-position model. RNAcentral also lists the same sequence under 2 other names. Lineage: Bacteria; Pseudomonadati; Pseudomonadota; Gammaproteobacteria; Enterobacterales; Enterobacteriaceae. The record is from RNAcentral.
UUGAGUCUCCUGAAGGAACGUUGAAGACGAUGACGUUGAUAGGUCGGGUGUGUAAGCGCAGCGAUGCGUUGAGCUAACCGAUACUAAUGAACCGUGAGGCUUAACCUU